CGUAGGGUGCGAGCGUUAAUCGGAAUUACUGGGCGUAAAGCGUGUGCAGGCGGUUUUGUAAGACAGAUGUGAAAUCCCCGGGCUCAACCUGGGACCUGCAUUUGUGACUGCAAGGCUAGAGUACGGUAGAGGGGGAUGGAAUUCCGCGUGUAGCAGUGAAAUGCGUAGAUAUGCGGAGGAACACCGAUGGCGAAGGCAAUCCCCUGGACCUGUACUGACGCUCAUGCACGAAAGCGUGGGGAGCAAACAGGAUUAGAUACCCUGGUAGUCCACGCCCUAAACGAUGUCAACUGGUUGUUGGGUCUUUACUGACUCAGUAACGAAGCUAACGCGUGAAGUUGACCGCCUGGGGAGUACGGCCGCAAGGUUG
Molecule: ribosomal RNA, 370 nt
Filed under: uncultured organism
Description: bacterial SSU rRNA
Rfam family: Bacterial small subunit ribosomal RNA
Source: RNAcentral